Molecule: ribosomal RNA, 347 nt
Filed under: uncultured bacterium
Lineage: Bacteria
Description: partial 16S ribosomal RNA
Rfam family: Bacterial small subunit ribosomal RNA
Source: RNAcentral
CCUACGGGAGGCAGCAGUGAGGAAUAUUGGUCAAUGGACGCAAGUCUGAACCAGCCAUGCCGCGUGCAGGAAGACGGCUCGAUGAGGUGUAAAAUGCUUUUGUACGAGGGUAAAAGCAGAUACGCGUAUCUGUCUGAAAGUAUCGUACGAAUAAGGAUCGGCUAACUCCGUGCCAGCAGCCGCGGUAAAACGGAGGAGUCAAGCGUUAUCCGGAUUUAUUGGGUUUAAUGGGUGCGUAGGCGGGCGGAUAAGUUAGAGGUGAAAUCCCGAGGCUCACCUUCGGAAUUGCCUCUGAUCCUGUUCGGCUAGAGCGUAGUUGCGGUAGGCGGAAUGUAUGGUGUAGCGGU